AAAGGUCUUUUACGAAAAUCGGACGUUUUGUUUAUAUAGUAGGUUGAAUUUGGUAAUAUGGAGCGUUAAAAAUUCGCGAGGCAUUAAAAUUACCAAAGGCCAGAUAACACCGUCGCUCGAGCGAGGUACUGGCGAAACUCGAGCGACGCACCUUCGCCGAGCGACUGCUCAGCGAAACUCUAGCGAUGUCUGUUCUGCAAUUUAGGCUCGAGCGAGGUCAGGGCGAAACUCUAGCGAAAUCAACGCGCCGUUUGCAUCUUCAAAGCAUCCCACUUUACCCUAGACCUAUGCUAUGAACUUUGCUAAAUUACAACUUUAGUCCCUGAACUAUUAGACCUUUACAAUUUGGUCCUUGACUUUACAAUUUUGACAAAUAUGUCCUUUGGUCACAGAUUGCCAAUUACACAUUUUCCUAACAAACUCCCCCUUUGGCAUUCUGUGACAAAAAUAAAUAUGACAAUCAAGGACAUAAAUAAAAAUGACUCCAAACAACCUAUCUAUUCAACCAAAGCAGCUAUCCCUUGUUGAACCUAUUUCCUGAAAAUCAAAAACUCAAAUACCAAGUGUAAAAGCAUGUGAAAUGGAAACAAUAAGUAAAAACAAGAAAUAGAUCAUACGUCAUUAACCAGAUUAAGAAGCAAUAAUAAUGUAAGUCAAAAACACCAAAAACAUACAUUAAUAUUGCCAAAACAUCAAAAACUUAAUCUAGUCAUGAAUUAUAUACAUCAUCUUUAUAUCACAAUUACCAAAAAAUAGAUAUCUAUCUAUCCAACUCUAUCCAAAAUAUCUACUCCCCCUUUUUGUCACGAAGGACAAAGGAUCAAAAAACAAUCAACUAACUAACUACGAGGCAACACCUCCAGCAUCUGAAGACUCAGCACCGCUCUCGCCACUUGUGCUCUCCUCCAUACUAUCACGAAUCUAGCGCAAAUGUUGCUGACAAACGGCAAGAACACGGCAAAAAGUAGAAAGCUCAGCUGACUGACGCUCCGAAGCAGCACGUAACUGCGUGAUCUCAGCCAUCAUACGAGCCUGCUGCUCGACCAGUGUAGACAUCUGUCCCAUAAGCGUCACCAUGGGGUCAACGGGCAAAGCAGCCACCCCAGGAGUAGAAGUAGAUGUCGAAGGAAAGGUAGAGCUAAGCGGAAUAGCUAAAGGAGGAUCAAAACGAGAAGGAAGAAAGACACGAGAACCCCCAGUAAGAAUAUCAGUAAUAGGAUCAAGGGGCUCCGAAAAAUCAAAGACACCAACAGGCUCAGCCUGAGCCGCAGCAUGAGCAGAAGAGGAAGAAAACGGAACAUGGGAUCGACUCUGAUGAAUGGUCUGCUAUCCUAUCGGACGUCCUAUGCGACUAGUCGAACCCUCUGGAAAAGAAGCACCUAAAGACAAAGCAACCCUAUGAAUCAAGCAAGCAUAAGGCAACUCGAUCCGUCCCCCAGGAGUACGAAAUGAAGCCAGAAUCUACUGGAACACAAAACUAGGAAGGUCGAUCGAGUCCCCAUGCAGAAGCGCAUAUAGAAAACGGGCCCUCACCAUAGGUAAAGAAGACGUGUGGGCAACAGGCCACAGGUUUGUGCACACGAUGCGCAACAAAACCUGACAAUUAGUGGGUAAAGAACCCGUGGUCAUCGCCGUAGGCCCCCUGACAGACGGGUGUUCAAAAGCGUCGACCGAACAAGGGCAUCGGCCGGAAUAGAAGCAGGUAGAAUAUAAGGAAAAGUCGGAUGGGAAAUCUGAGGUAUACCUAAAGCAUGAGCUACUGCGGCGGAGUAACCCUAAAAGAAUGACCUCUAAGAAAAACCCUAAACGACGAGCCGUCUAUGUCAUGAAUAUUAGCAUAAAACUCCUGAACCAGGAGUGGGGGCGGAGGUGAAAGACCAACAAGAAGGGGCUCCCAACCCCAGGAAACAAAAAUGGCAGCUAUAUCAACAGGAAGGUCAGAUAAGAUUACCUCACGCUCCACGAGUACGGAGCGUAAGGAGAACUGAGAAGUGAAGACCUCCUGAGCUGUAGCAGAAAUGAAUCGCAAUUGACUAUACGACGUUGAACCACUGGCCGGCUGUGCAGAGGGUCGAGAACGCUUACGGGCCAUCUGGCACACGUAGAGAUGGAACUAAUGAGUAACAUGAAGAAUGCACGUAAUAUGAUGCAAUGUGAAAUGAAACACUGCACACACAAAUGAGGCACGAAAGAAAUGCAUCGAAAAAUGUGAACGACCCUAAGAGCAAACCAAGCAUGACGAAAAGAUAAACCUAAAAUAUGUCCAAAAGCACUCAACAUGGCACGUGACGACAAUGAAACAAAGAUGAAAUGGAAAGAAGGAAAACAGAAACACAAAAAAAAAACUAAGGGAAAACAAAAGUCAUAUAGCCAAGGACUUUCAUCGAACACGUGGCGUGCGACACUUUGGCACACAGUUCCAAGCACAUACGAGACGCAAAUACACAACCAAGCAUAGUCCCACAAACUAGAAACCAUAGUCUUUAGAAUGAAACAAACCACACAAGAAAUGGAGUAACGGAACGCAAGAACGAACAACACGAACAUGAACGAAAAACACGAAAAUUUCAUUACUAAACCAUGGAAGAACACACAAUUUAAUGUAAUUUGUGAUGCAAAAUGCGAAGAAUAACAAGAAUAACAAACAAGAAAUGCAUGAAGAUCAUAACAAGGAAAGAAGAAACAAUCAAAAUACAAAAAAAAAAAAAAAAACUAAACACAAGAGGAUAAAAAAAAGAAAGGAAAAAAACGAAAAACAAUUACCUCAAAAACGUUGUGCAAAUGUUGAAAUCCGGAAGCCAAUAUAUGUUAGGGGCUUCGAAAUUGUGUAAUAAACAAGUGUGAUGGAUGAAUUUUGAAUGAAUCGCAGCAAUUGUUGAAAAAAUGAGAGAGAAUGAAGAAGAAUUGCGUGAAAAAUGAAAACUGGGACUCUUAAAAAAGCACUGUCGCCCGAGCGAGCCAUGGGCGAAACUCGAGCGAAAUUCAAAUGUCAAAAAUAGCACUAAAAUUUUGAAUAUUGAGAAAAAGAACACAAUUAUCAAGAAAUGACGAAAUUAGCCCCAAAUCGUAUAUUUUCAAAAAUAAGACAAGUGCAGAGCAUCGGAAACUAAUCAAAAAAAAAGAAGCAUGGGACCAAUUAUGUAAACUAUACCAACAAUAAGCAUAAAGUCACAAUCCCGACACUCAGCACAUAAACAAAUCGUAAGUCCACACAUAGUUCAAAAUCCCGUGGAGUAAAGUGUAUACAGAACAUCACCGUGAAAAGUGUCACGUAGUCCAUGCAAGUGAGACUCAAAACCUUAAAUUAGUGAGAAUUGACACGUGAAAACAACCAGACAAAGGUGUAUGUCUACCAAGUGACAGUCAAAUCCAAUUCCACGAGGACCUAUAUCAAAUAUUACGAUUGUCACAAUUUUACUCCCCCUAAUUGUAUGAUUCCAUAUUUCUUCCCUUUUUUCUUUUUUUUUUCAACAAAAGAACUUAAGUGCAAUGAUAUCCCCAUUAGGCGACAAAAAUGACCCCGGUAACGAACUUUGGGCCGAUGACUCCCAAGUCAAAUGACCAUAGGGCACCAGGUUAGAAACCUCUCAGACUUAAUUGUUCGAGUCAAAUAUGCCCCGAAGACAGUCAUAAGUUCAACAAAAUAAAAGUGGGGAAAGACAAUAUGAUUAGGUGACAUUAGUCCCAGAUCAAGUCAAAUGGACACAUAACCCCAAUCACAGAAGAACACUAUCCCAAGUCUCACCCAUACGGUCAAGACUCACUCACAGGACUACAGUGUGUGCUAUGCAAAAAUGAAUGACGAGACAUAUACUCAGAACUCCACAGGCAAAGAGAACGAUGAUGGAACCUCAGACUUCUACAUAUGAUGAAAAAUAGAGUUUGAUCUUUAAUGCAAAAGCUAUUAUCGUCACAUAAAAGGCAUACACAAAAAAAAAUCCCAUUUUAUUUUUAUUUUUUAUUAUUAUUUUUUUUAAUUAAAUUUUUUUUUUAAAUUUUCAUAUUUAAACACACAAAUAUAACACACAAAAGAAGACUAAACGACAAACUACCACUCAAAAAUGCAUCACACACACACAGAUCACAUGCAUGAUAUGAAGUGACUAGGUGCAUAUGUGAUGAAUGCAUGAAUAUGCAUGAAUCCACGAUCAGAUAGGUGAACAAACACCAACAGCCGUCCGAAGCGACUCAAACCUCAAUCCAUCUAGUGGUUUCGUAAGUAGAUCAUCCAAUUGAUUAUCAGUAGAGACAUGGUCGAGGGAGACUACAUGUGAUUUAACAAGUUCACGAAUGAAGUGAUGUAGUAUGUCAAUAUGUUUUGUUCGAGAGUGUUGAAUGGGAUUCUUAAAAAUAUUUAUAGCACUUGUAUUAUCACAGAAAACAGUCAUGGUCCCUUGACUAAUCCCAUAAUCACUCAGCAUCUGCUUCAUCCAGAUAAGCUGAGUGCAGCAACUACCUGCAGCUAUGUAUUCGGCCUCUGUCGUGGAUAGAGAUAUAGAAUUCCGUGUCUUACUUAACCAGGCUACGAGAUUGCUCCCCAUGUAAAAAAAUCCCCUGUCGUACUUUUCUUAUCAUCUGCGUUCCCAGCCCAGUCGGCGUCGGAGUAACCAGCCAAAUCAAGAUUAGAAUUCCUAGAAUAGAAUAUCCCUAGAUCAAUUGUACCACUCACAUAUCUAAUGAUGCGUCUAAUAGAGCUUAAGUGUGAUUUUUUGGAUCUGUCUGAAAUCGAGCACACACUCCAACACUAAAAGCAAUGUCAGGUCUAGUAGCCGUGAGAUAGAGAAGACUACCUAUCAUGCUUCGAUAUAGGGAAGAAUCUACACACUUACCUGAAGGAUCAUGACCUAACUUCAAGCUAGUACUCAUAGGUGUCCUAGUAUGCUUCUUACUAUCUAACCCAAAGCGCUUAACUAGAUCCUUAGCAUACUUAGACUGUGAAAUGAACAGUCCAUCCUCUGUCUGUCUCACCUAAAGUCCAAGGAAAUAACUCAACUCCCCAACCAUACUCAUCUCAAAUUCUUGCUUCAAACACUCAGCAAACUCAUAUGCUAGAGACUCAAGAGGAGACUCAAAAAUAAUGUCAUCGACAUAAAUCUGAGCAAUGGUGAUAGUUUCUUCAAUAUGUCUAAUAAAUAAGAUCCUAUCUGUACCACCUCGAGAGAAUCCAUGUUCCUCAAGGUAUGAAGUAAGUCUCUCAUACCAAGCUCUAUGAGCUUGUUUCAGACCAUAAAGUGCUUUGUGGAGUUUGUAGACAUAGUGGGGGAACUUAGGAUCAACAAAUCCUUUUGGUUGUUCCACAUAGACUUCUUCCUGAAGAAGUCCAUUCAAGAAGGCACUCUUAACAUCCAUUUGAUGUAACUUGAACCCUAAGGUACAAGCAACAGCAAGCAGAAUCCGAAUAAACUCUAGUCGUGCAACAGGGGCAAAAGUUUCAUCAAAAUCAAUUCCUUCAACUUGAGUAUAACCCUGAGCAACUAAUCUGGCCUUAUUCCUAGUUAUAGUACCUUGGUCAUCUGUCUUAUUCUUAAAGAUCCACUUAGUACCAAUAACAUUACAAUUUUUAGGUCUGGGAACUAAGGUCCACACAUUGUUCCUAGCAAAUUGAUUGAGUUCCUCAUGCAUCGCAUUCACCCAACACUCAUCACUAAGAGCCUCUUCAACUUUCUUAGGCUCUACACGAGAGACAUACCUAGUGUAAGCUAGAUUGUUCAGUACUCUCCUACGAAGUCUCAUACCUUCAUCUAGAUCAUCAAUGAUAUUGUCCUUAGGAUGAUUAGACUUAACCCUAGUCGAUGGUUCCUUAGGAUUUUUAUCUCGAUCUUGUGGAAGUGUUUCCUUUUCAGGUGUUUCAGUUUUCCUAAGAGAUGAUUCAGGCACAGGUGGUCAGUGGGAUCACUAGAACUUAUAAGAUCACCAUCACUAUCACAAUUUUCAACACUCUCCCCCUCACUCACAGCAUCAUCUAUCACAACAUUGAUUGACUCCAUCACAACAUGAGUUCGUGAGUUAUAUACUCGGAAUGCUCGACUAUUUCUAGAGUAUCCUAAGAAAACUCCUUCAUCACUCUUAGAUCCAAACUUACCCAAGUUCUCUCUAUCACGCAGAAUAUAGCACUUACUCCCAAACACACUAAAGUACUUAACCGUAGGCUUUUUACCCUUAAGAAUUUCAUAUGGAGUCCGAUCGGUCUUGGGCCUAAGGUAGACUCUAUUGAUUAUGUGGCAUGCAGUGUUAACAACUUCUCCCCAAAAGUGUAGGGCUAGUCCUCUUCCAUGAAGCAUGGCUCUAGCCAUGUCCUGAAGAACACGAUUAUUCUUUUCAACCACCCCAUUUUGUUGAGGAGUGAUAGGGGAAGAAAACUCAUGCAAUAUCCCUUCAUCCAUGCAAAAACUCUCAAGAUUAGAAUUUUCAAAUUCUUUUCCAUGAUCACUACGCAUUCUAGACACUUUGAGAUAGAGUUGAUUAUUAAGCCGCUUACACAGAGACUUUAUAAGAUCACAUGCAUCAGAUUUUUUCCUAAGCAAUUCUAUCCAUGUGAACCUCGAGAAGUCAUCUACCACAACAAUAAUGUAUAGCUUACCUCCUAGACUCUCAGUCCUAGAUGGUCCCAUUAAAUCCAUGUGUAUCAAUUCCAGGGGUCUUUUGGUCAGAAUUUUAGAAGUCUUUUUAUGACUUCCCUUAAGCUGUUUACUUAGUUGACAUGGUCCACGCACAACAUUUUCACUCGGACUUAUCUUAGGCAAACCAUUUACCAAUUCCUUCUUAGCUAGCUGUACUACACUCUUAUAAUUCAAGUGACCUAACCAUUUGUGCCAGAGCUCACUCACAUCAAUUUUUGCACUCCUACACACAUAAUUAGAAUUAGGCAAAACUCCAUAACAAUUGUCAGAUGUUCUAACCCCUUCAAGGACCACCCCGCCGGACGAAUCAUACACGGUACAUCUCUUUUGCACAAAGCUAACCUCAAAAUCAUCAUCACAAAUCUGACUAAUGCUUAACAAAUUAGACUUUAAGCCUUCCACAUAAAGCACAUUAGAGAUCACAGGUAAUCCAUACAUUUGUACAGUACCUUUGCCAAGAAUAGGUGCAGAACCCCCAUCUCCAAAGGUAACUAUACCACCAUUACAUUCAUCAAGAGUAGUGAACCAAGCUUUAUUACCACACAUAUGCCUAGAACAUACACUAUCUAGAUACCACAUAUUGUAAUUUUGGGCUUUUAAUGCAACAUGAGCAACAAAACAGUUUUCUUAACCUGAAUGUCUAGCUAGAUCACCCUUUUUCACCCAAACUUUCUUAGAUGAUAAAGUACUCCUAGUAAGCUUAGUAAGCAUCUCAGUCAAAUGACUAACCUGAUUAGACAGAAAGCUAACCUGACUAGGAAUGUUAUGAUUUCUACGCUCAUUGCCUAAUUUAUAACAUCUAGGCCUACUGUGUCCUAGAGCUCCACAGUGGUGACAGAUGGGAAUGAACCUAUGCUCAAAGGUACGUGUCUGUGGGUAUCUGGGAUUGAAGUUCCUACGUGAUUGAUGACUCUGUUCUCUCGGAACAUUCUUACCCUUUUUUGAACUGCCGACAGCAUUAGCUUUCUUAGAGGCAGAAACAACACAGUCUUAGAUGGUCUAGUAACAUGUGUGUUACCCUCAACGUAUCCUAGACCUUUCCUAUCUCCUGUAGGCUUAUUCAUUCCCAAACUAUUGUCCAAUUUCUUAGUCCCACUUAUGAAAGUCUAAAGAUGAGCAUUAGAUUUCUCCAAUUCACUAGUCAAAGUCUUUAUCUUGUCCUCUAACUUCUCAUUGACACACUUUAACUCACUACCACUCUUAAGUGAAUCCUGAAGAUUACUAGCAAGUUUCUUUUUUUCUCUUUCAAGUUCAUCAACCUUUUUGAGUAGGGCUUUAUUGACCUUUUUGAUUUUAAGACUCUCUUUAAACAAAAGUUGAUAAGCUUCUUGUAUGUCUAUGUCAUCCUCAUCCUCAUUACUAGAAUUAUCGUUAGGAAGUUCUUCCUCAACCCCUCAACCUUGUCACUUUCUUUGUUUCUUCUUAUAACUAGGGCAUUCAUUCCUAUAGUGACCUAUACCUUGACACUCAUGGCACCUAACCAAACGAGGCUUAUCACUAGACCCUUUAUUGGUAAACUUUUCAAUUUUUUCUUUUGAAAAACUGCUGAGGGCUCCACUUUUUCUAUCCUGAGGCUUUCUCCUAUUCUUGAGAACUUUUUGGAAUCUCUUAACAAAGUAAACAAUUUCAUCGUCCCUAAGUGACUCAGUAUCAGAAUAUUCAUCCUCUUUGAUGGAUUUUAAGGCUAUGGACUUUCCUUUCUUAGGUUGUGUGACAGUGAGUUCAUAAGUUUGCAGGGAUCCUACCAGUUCUUCAAUUUUAACUUCAUCUAGGUCCUUACUUUUCUCAAUGGCAGUGACCUUAGGCCUAAAUCUCUCGGGCAGGGACCUAAGCACUUUUCUCACAAUUUUAGACUCAGGAAUUCUCUCACCUAGAUUGAAGCUAGAAUUAACAAUGUCAUUCAAUUUAGCAUAGAAUUCGUCAAACGUUUCAUCAUCCUUCAUUCUCACUUCUUCAAACCUAGAUGCUAGCAUUUGUAACUUGGAAUUCUUUACCGUUUUAGUUCCCUCAUGUGUAGUUUCAAGAAUGUCCCAAACCUCUUUACAAGUUUCACACAUUGACAAUCUCCUAAACUUUUCGGGAGACACGGCCAUAAACAGGGCAUGAAGACCCUUGCUAUUCCAAUUACACUCAGUUAUUUCAUCCUUAGUCCACAGUGAUAUGUCAGUUAGAUUAAUAGUUCCAGAAAGGGUAGUGGAGGGAGGUUUCCAACCAUUUUGCACACUUACCUAAACAUGCUCAUCUAAAGACUUAAGAAAAGCACGCAUUCUAACCUUCCAAUAAGCAUAAUUACUUCCAUCGAAAAAUGGAGGCACAGACAGUGAUUGACUCAUCUAGACAACUAUGGGUCAGGACUCGAGAUUUGGCUCUGAUACCACUUGAAAAAGCUAUAGUUCGACCCAACCAACACCUAGAGGGGGGGUGAAUAGGUGUUUAUGCGGAAUUAAGGCAAUUAAUUAACUUAUGCAACAAGUCACAUAAAUUACGCAUUGUCCAGAUUCAUUCACAUACUUUAUCUAUCUAAGUUGAAUUACCGGUUGAAAAGUAAAUAACAAAAACCAGUAAAAACGCCACAAAAUGUUGACGGAGAAAACCCAACUGGGUAAAAACUCCGGGCACAAGCCAGUAGAGAUCCACUAUAGAAGAUAUUGACUUAUAGUACGCCAAACAUUAUUGAUUCUAACAAUACUCUGACCUCCUUACUGUAUCGACCACAUCUAUCCUGGAUUUUGCAGAUCUGCGUCAAAAUCCCAGCCUUGAAUAUCUUCUACCUCCCAUGAAUCACCAAGCACUCCAGCUCUUCAAGCAAUUCCCUUCCCGGAUCUUCAAACUGACGAUCUUCUGGAAGUUGAUAUGGAGAUAUGAAAGGGUGUUUUGGUUUUGAGAGGGUUGAUGUUUUUAUUCAAAGAACCAUGAGAAUUAAAAGAUGAAAAGAAUGAAUAUUAGGUUCUUAAUCCUUUGGAAGUUGAGAGGAAUUCCUGUUUGAAUGUUUGCCAAAGGUCCUUUACGAAAAUCAGACGUUUUGUUUAUAUAGUAGGUUGAAUUUGGUAAUAUGGAGCGUUAAAAAUUCGUGAGGCAUUAAAAUUACCAAAAGCCAGAUAACACCGUCGCUCGAGCGAGGUGCUGGCGAAACUCGAGCGACGCACCUUCGCUCGAGCGACAGCUCAGCGAAACUCUAGCGACGUCUGUUCUGCAAUUUAGGCUCGAGCGAGGUCAGGGCGAAACUCUAGCGAAAUCAACGCGCCGUUUGCAUCUUCAAAGCAUCCCACUUUACCCUAGACCUAUGCUAUGAACUUUGCUAAAUUGCAACUUUAGUCCCUGAACUAUUAGACCUUUACAAUUUGGUCCUUGACUUUACAAUUUUGACAAAUAGGUCAUUUGGUCACAGAUUGCCAAUUACACAUUCUCC
RNAcentral lists this long non-coding RNA (10029 nucleotides) under Olea europaea (common olive). RNAcentral describes it as "long non-coding RNA (OEUR_LNC001741)". Lineage: Eukaryota; Viridiplantae; Streptophyta; Magnoliopsida; Lamiales; Oleaceae. The record is from RNAcentral.